UCUCCUUCUGCCUGGUGGCUCCAUCCUCAGCAGCCUUCUCUCUAUAUACCCUGGGUCCCUCCUCUGCACGUGUCCAAACCAUCUCAAUCUCACCUCUCUGACUUUGUCUCCGAACUGUCCUACUUGAGCUGUCACACUGAUAUGUUCAUUCCUAAUCCUGUUCAUUCUUGUUAUUCCCAAAGAGAAUCAUAACAUCUUCAGCUCUGCCUCCUCCAGCUCUGCCUCC
This is a long non-coding RNA of Thalassophryne amazonica, 226 nucleotides long. RefSeq lists it as uncharacterized. Lineage: Eukaryota; Metazoa; Chordata; Actinopteri; Batrachoidiformes; Batrachoididae. The record is from RefSeq and is a predicted model, not a curated record. The transcript is spliced from 3 exons.